Molecule: ribosomal RNA, 446 nt
Filed under: uncultured bacterium
Lineage: Bacteria
Description: partial 16S ribosomal RNA
Rfam family: Bacterial small subunit ribosomal RNA
Source: RNAcentral
CCUACGGGGGGCAGCAGUCGAGAAUCAUUCACAAUGGGGGAAACCCUGAUGGUGCGACGCCGCGUGGGGGAAUGAAGGUCUUCGGAUUGUAAACCCCUGUCAUGUGGGAGCAAAUUAAAAAGAUAGUACCACAAGAGGAAGAGACGGCUAACUCUGUGCCAGCAGCCGCGGUAAUACAGAGGUCUCAAGCGUUGUUCGGAAUCACUGGGCGGAAAGCGUGCGUAGGCUGUUUCGUAAGUCGUGUGUGAAAGGCGCGGGCUCAACCCGCGGACGGCACAUGAUACUGCGAGACUAGAGUAAUGGAGGGGGAACCGGAAUUCUCGGUGUAGCAGUGAAAUGCGUAGAUAUCGAGAGGAACACUCGUGGCGAAGGCGGGUUCCUGGACAUUAACUGACGCUGAGGCACGAAGGCCAGGGGAGCGAAAGGGAUUAGAUACCCCAGUAGUC